AAAAAAAAACAUUUCCAGUUCCUUCUUCAGGUCUUUUGCCCUAAACUCUCAGCCCCCCUUCUCAUUGUCCCCAAAAUUAGUAGAUUCUCUGUAACACUCCUUCGGAUUGAUUCUUCGUUUACCCCUGAAGUUACAUCCAAGUCUUUAUCCAGUGUUGGCUAUACACUUUUCGGAGUUUAUAAGUUUGGCUGCUAUUAUUCAUUUUGCAAGAGAUCCAGGGUGUAAAACUAAGAAAGUAAAAUGCAGCAACAAGAGAACAGUACAAAAAGUGGCGCUAAAGAGAGCAUGCCAGGGAGUGAACUUUGGACAGAUGGGCUUAUUUGUGCUUUUGAGUUUAUUCGAGGGGCCAGGAAGCAGACAACUAUCUUAAAACCUGGUUCUAGGACAAAUGUUGAUCGACAUAUCAAUGGUAAACACUCGAAGCCAGUGUCUAACGGUACAACCAAUUCUUCUGCUCAUAGUGUCCAAAAUAUCGAUCUUAUAGACUUUGAAUCACUCAUAAAGGUUGGGACAGAUGAAAUUUCUCUUUCAGAUGAGCAAAACGGCCCCGGUAACUAUCAAACUGCCUCCAUGGAUAAACCUAGAGGAAGUCACUGGGUACCAAUUGGUUGGGAUAGAAUUUCUGAACUUGCCCAAACAGUUCAAGUUGAUGGAGGGUGGACCUCACAAUCUACUGAGUUCAUGGACGAUGAAGAUGAUUUUACAGUUGCAGAUGUAGCAGCUCCUUACUGGGAACGGGCAGCAGGGCCUACAUGGUGGUGUCAUGUGGUUGCGGGUCAUAAGUUUAUAGAUUCAUGGCUAACCAAUGCUCAGUGGCUACACCCGGCCAUUAGUCUUGCCUUGAGAGAUGAAAGUCGGUUGAUCAGUGAUCGCAUGAAACACCUUUUGUACGAAGUUCCAGUUAGGGUUGCAGGUGGUAUAUUAUUCGAGUUGUUAGGGCAAUCAGCUGGUGAUCCUUUGGUUGACGAGGAUGACAUUCCUAUUGUACUUCGGUCCUUUAAAGCGCAAAACUUUUUAAUAUCUGUAUUGCAUGUCAAAGGAACUGCUUCAAACAUAAAUGUGUUAGGUAUAACCGAAGUUCAGGAGCUUCUUGCCACUGGUGGUAGCAGUUCACCAAGAACAAUUCACGAAGUAAUAGCGCAACUAGCUUGCCGCCUUUCUCGUUGGGAUGAUAGGCUGUUUCGCAAAUCCAUAUUUGGCGCAGCAGAUGAAAUUGAAUUGAAAUUUAUGGAUAGGAGAAACCAUGAGGAUAUGAAUCUAUUCAGUGUGAUCCUGAACCAGGAACUCAGGAAACUGUCAAGACAGGUUAUCAGGGUUAAAUGGUCACUACAUGCUAGAGAAGAAAUCGUAUUUGAGCUUCUCCACCACUUAAGGGGUAAUGCAGCAAAUAAAUUGUUGGAAGGAAUUCGAAAGAAUACAAGGGAAAUGAUUGAGGAGCAAGAAGCAGUUCGUGGUCGACUCUUUACUAUUCAAGAUGUUAUGCAAAGUACUGUCCGUUCAUGGUUGCAGGAUAAGAGCCUUCGUGUUACUCACAAUUUGACCGUAUUUGGAGGUUGCGGUCUUGUUCUUUCAAUAGUCACGGGAUUAUUUGGGAUUAAUGUAGAUGGAAUGCCCGGGGCUCAAAAUACUCCAUAUGCAUUUGCUCUUUUUUCUGGUCUCCUCAUCCUGUUGGGUAUCCUGUUAAUUGCCGUUGGAAUAUUGUAUCUAGGGUUGAAAAAACCCAUAACUGAAGGACAGGUCCAAAUAAGGAUGUUGGAGCUUCAACGACUUGUUAAAUCAUUCCAACAUGAGGCAGAAACUCAUGCACAAGUUAGGCAGAAGUUCCCCAGGAAUAGCUUACCACCAACUGCGGCUGAUAUGAUUCCCGGAGCAGAGUAUAUACUAAUCCACUGAAGAUAAGUGCCAGGUUUGGGAGCUGAGCUGUUUUGUCAUUAACAGAUUACUUUCUUGAGUACUCCGUCAACUUUUCAGCAAGAUCGGUGUUUAGCAGCAUUCUCAAUGGAUUCAGAAGGAUGUGAUGAAUUCUUUAUGCUCGCAACACCUGUUAGUCCUCAGAUCAUCAUUUAAUCUUCUGGAUGUACAUUAUGAAGGAAGGUGAUUCUGUAGACAAGAAAGUAUGCUAUAGCUGGCCUGAAGAAAGACAGGAAAUAAAAGUUGGGGGAUGGAGUCUGUGGGUAUGAUAGUUAAUUGCGUCAUGUUUAAUGCAGUUAAGCAAAACCAAGAGUAUAAGUUCUUUGUGCUGCUGUCAGUGGAAUAUCUUUCUUGCACCAUUGUCGCGUAUUACCUAAUGGUUACCAGCAGAAAGUCUUGUUUAUACCUGGCUCCAAGGAGAAAUGCAAUAUGCUUAAACAUGAUGUACAGUACCAUUAAUGAAGCAGCUGGAGCCUGGAAGGUCAUACAGUCAUACCUCAUCUAUGAAAACUAGAUUCAGUAAGCCUUUGGAGUAUGCUAUCCUGCUAAAAUACAGGUUCAGCUGAUUUCAGUUGCAGUCUUUCGCUGC
Molecule: RNA transcript, 2500 nt
Organism: Papaver somniferum (opium poppy)
Lineage: Eukaryota; Viridiplantae; Streptophyta; Magnoliopsida; Ranunculales; Papaveraceae
Exons: 5
Source: RefSeq, a predicted model, not a curated record